RNAcentral lists this ribosomal RNA (403 nucleotides) under uncultured prokaryote. RNAcentral's name for it is "bacterial SSU rRNA". It matches the Rfam family "Bacterial small subunit ribosomal RNA", at positions 355 to 774 of the family's 1533-position model. The record is from RNAcentral.
GAGGGAAUAUUGGUUAAUGUGCGAAAGCGCGAACCAGCAACGCCGCGUGUGCGAUGAAGGCCUUCGGGUUGUAGAGCACUUUUAGAGGGAAUGAGGAAGGACAGUACCCUCAGAAUAAGCCUCGGCUAACUACGUGCCAGCAGCCGCGGUAAUACGUAGGAGGCGAGCGUUAUCCGGAUUUACUGGGCGUAAAGCGCGUGUAGGUGGUUCUGUAAGUAGGGCGUGAAAGCUCCUGGCUCAACUGGGAGAGGCCGUUCUAAACUGCAGAGCUAGAGGAUGGUAGAGGGAAGUGGAAUUCCGGGUGUAGCGGUGGAAUGCGCAGAUAUCCGGAGGAACACCAGAGGCGAAAGCGGCCUCCUGGGCCAUUUCUGACGCUAAGACGCGAAAGCUAGGGUAGCAAACG